Long non-coding RNA from Triticum aestivum (bread wheat), 1768 nucleotides. RefSeq lists it as uncharacterized. The record is from RefSeq and is a predicted model, not a curated record. Lineage: Eukaryota; Viridiplantae; Streptophyta; Magnoliopsida; Poales; Poaceae. The transcript is spliced from 4 exons.
UUGGUUGAGCUAGUCGUCCCACGGAUCGCAAAUCCAGACCAUCUCCUCUUCUGUGAUCCAACGGCAAGCAAUCAACUCCAUCCUUCCCGACUCCUCUGUAGAUCUCGAUCGGCUUCUUCCAUCUCCUUUGUCAGCCCCGACUCCCCUGGUCUCACUGUUUCCAGAUCCCCAACCCUCCCCAUCCAUGGCCGCCGCCACCUCCCCAUCCAUGGCCAUCUUCUAGGGGAAGAUCCCGCAACCGCUGCGACGAUAGCCUCGUUCCCGAAGGCGGGGACGACCCUGAAGGCGAACCUAGUGCACGCGACGCCGGUGCCGAUACUGCGGGUCGGGCAGCGGUCAGAUCCACCACGGCAACAACCGGCGUCCUCUCCCUCUCUAUCCAUCUUUCUCCCAUGACUGAGAAGAGGGCUUCGUCAAGGAUUCCAUUAUGGAUGUCAACGUGGGAGGCUGCUUCCUCCCCUUCCAGAUCGACCAUCCAUGGAUGGAGGCUAUGAGAGCUGAGUGAGCACACACAUGGUUGCGCUUCAAGCUGCAGCUCAAUAGAUGCAGGGACGCCGCAAUGGAGCAAGUAAGGCCUCCCUUCUCCCACUGUUUCUUCAGAUCUGCCACGGCCAGCCAUAUCUGGCGCCCCUGCACCACCGUGGUGGUUUUGAAGGGGGUUAUUUAGAAUAGCCACAAAGCAGAAAGAAGAAACAUUCCACUUCAGUAAAAGCGUCAUGAUCCUGAUACUCUUAUCAUUUUGUUAAUGACAUACGUGUCAUGUCAAUGCUUGCCGGACGCUAGUCCUACUGGGUAGUAUAGCUAAUUCUUUGCGCUUCAGAACAUUCAAGAGCUCUUUAGUCCUACCAAAAAAGUUUUUAUGUUUACCUUACACAAAAUAUUCAUAUUUCUCACCUUUUAACUCAUCUAGCUGACCUGUCACUGCCAAAAAUUGCUACUGGAUAGGGGCUGUUUGGUUAGUGCUCCCAUUCUUGGUGGGCUAAACAUAUUUGUUUGUUUGUUUGAUUUGGAGCAGCAGAUGAUCUCCAUCGACGGAUGGGACCCCAUGCCUAAGUUGUUGAUUGCCUCAUUUUAUCCACCUUCACCAUAUAUUCAUUUGAUUGCCUGCUACAUCUUCACUUAAAUACUCAGAAUGUUACCGUCCAGAUUUUGGUAAAUUGGACUGACUAGAUAUCUUUUCUUGUUAUUUUUUGGUGAGAAAUAAACAUUGCAAUUUAUUCUUAUAUUUUCCUUCAACUUGGCACACAGGUUACAUUGACUAUAUUUUUUUCCAUCCGUACAAUUGUGAUCUGAUCUUGCAUUUCAUUUUUUGGUUUCUAAAGAGGUGGAAGAAAUCUCUUGAGGCCAAACCACAGGGAGGAUGGCGGCCAACAAUCGGUACAUGUUCUCAAGGUCCCAUGGAACUGGGUACAGGUGCGGCUGUGUGCUCGUGAUCCCCAUCCAAUGCUGCGCAUCCAAGGCAACGUCGCACCGGUCCUUGGGAGCAUAGGUUGAGGUGAUAUGGUGACUUCCUUCGGUGAUGUCGGCGGGGAUGGCUGGUCUGUGUCCGGGAAGGCAUGGGAAUGACCCCUGGUUGCUGUCUGUUGAGCGUUGGGAGGCAGUGGCUGCAAAGUAGCAUAGGGUGUUCUCUAGCACUUGUUUGGCACUUGUUUGUAGAUUGAAGUUUCUUGUGUUUUUGCUCCAGCACAUGGUAUCGUCUCGACAUGUGUGUAAUUUUGCGUUUUUGUGGACUUUUUUCCUUUUGCAUAAAUUGUUAUUUUUCUGGUGA